Aegilops tauschii subsp. strangulata is the source of this 1555-nucleotide long non-coding RNA. RefSeq lists it as uncharacterized. The record is from RefSeq and is a predicted model, not a curated record. NCBI's taxonomy places the organism in Eukaryota, Viridiplantae, Streptophyta, Magnoliopsida, Poales, Poaceae.
GACAUGGCAUCCGGUGUUAUCCUCAUAAAUGUGGAGGAUCCACAACCCCAACCUAAUAUAGGAGACGAUAACGGGUGGAUUUUCGUAAGCGACGAUGACAAGAGGAGAUGAUGUCGCAGAGAGGUUGGCAUGAUGAAACGGUCAUUGGCGAUAGCAUGUAAGGAAGAAGACGACAAGAAUAGAUAGUAUGAAAGGGGGAGGGCCAGUGCGUGACUCGAGGACGUGAUGACGGAUUCAUCACAUGCAUCUACAAAAAGGACAACAAGUGGUUUGGUAUGCUCACAUAGAGAAAAAGGUAUAUGUCUCUCCCGUGGCAACGGGCACUCAACUAGUCUGUACUAUUAAAGAGGGAUCGAACGUUCGACCUCGUUCGACCACCUGGUUCGAUCCCCGGCCUCCCCACCUCCCUUUGUACGUCAACCCUCGCGGCAGGGCCACGCCCGCAGCAACCCUUUACUCCCGUCGAAAAAAAAGGAAAAAGGACAAUGGGGGAGAUGGAAACAACCGCCCCUGCGGCAACCACGAUACAUACCACGCCCAAUCUCCCCCAACCCCCUCGGAGAAAAAUCGCCCCCACUUCCACAUCUCGGCCGAGAAAAAUCGCCGCCCCAAGCCCCCAACACUCCUGCCGCGAUUGGGGUCUCCGGUGUAGGAGGAGCUGCAGCCCGCGGCGGCUCUUCUCCCCUGCACCCCGAGCUCCAAUGGCCUCACUCUGGGAGCCGAAGCAGUCAAGGCGUGGUGGUCUCAAGCACAGCGACGCCGAUCCUGAUAGCGCCCUGGCCACGACGCCGACGGCACGCCCUCACGACGGUCAUGCACAUGAGCGAUAGGAGAGGGUGGCACCAACUAUGGCUGCGGCACCGAUGAGUUCGCAAGACGAGCCCUGCUGCAUCGACGAGCCCUGCGCGGCAUCGGCAAGACCGGUAUAGGUUGCCGCACCGGCGAGCUCUGUGGUACAUGCGACCAUGCCGGCGCAGUUCCUCAAGAUUGGAUGUGUGCACUCUUGCAGGCUGGUGAUGACAACCAUCUUGGACGCCUUCUUCGAGGACCUCGGCUUGCUUAAGGCGAUGAUUGAUCGUCCGACUUACUCUGGUUGUGGCAUAGCAUGCACACUAGGUGUUUGUUCAUUUGUUUGUGCUGCCUUUGAUAGGUUCCCUGCCUGUCGAUUUUUUUUUCUCUGCCGAGAAGUGCAUAUUGUUGAUUGGUCCGGCUUACAAAGAGGAGUACCAGCUUCCCGAGUCUCUUACAGAAGCACUAAUUUAAUUCCAACAGAUUGAAUACGAGGAGCAUGCCCAUGGACAAUUUCAUGUAUGUGUAUUGCCAUUGUGAUACAAGGUUAAGUGUGUAAUAUUUUUAGAUGGUCAAAGCAUGACUGCAUGAGUAUAACCAACUACAUCAGCCAUGAGGGUCUUCAGGUCUGCUCUAAAAUUAGACCUUGUAGUUAUUCUAAAUUGAUAAUGCUGGCAUGUAUGUGGAAUCAAAAAUCAUAGCUUGAAUUGCUUCUGAAGCAUAGUAUUGUCUUCCAAUUCUAUAAUAUUUAUUUCCUAUGCCGAUA